UCGUAUCACAGAGGCGGCGAGGGUUGUCGCUGACCUUUCUAAAAGGUCGUGCACGCCCGAGUGCUUCUCAAUCCAUUUCACCCUUUGUGCAUCACCGCGUGGGGUCUUCUCCCUCUUGACUCGCUUCGAGAGAGGGAGGCUCGCGUUUUUCACACAUAAACAACACCCUUAUAGUUUAGAAUGUCAUUCAUUUGCGGUCACACGCAAUCAAUA
RNAcentral lists this unclassified non-coding RNA (213 nucleotides) under uncultured Russula. Its description in RNAcentral is "sequence contains ITS1". Lineage: Eukaryota; Fungi; Basidiomycota; Agaricomycetes; Russulales; Russulaceae. The record is from RNAcentral.